This 30-nucleotide non-coding RNA is filed under the name Mus musculus (house mouse). The record is from RNAcentral. Lineage: Eukaryota; Metazoa; Chordata; Mammalia; Rodentia; Muridae.
UCUUAAACUCAGACAGGAGGACCUGGUGGC